UGUGACAGGGAAAGGAAAUGAACAGACCUGCAGAAAGCUCACGUUCAGAUGGUAUUGCAUCACUUGUGUCAAAAGGAGACAGACACCUCAGCUUUAAAUUCAAGACUAAUGCAGUUUUAUGGUAGACAUUUCAAGAACCAGACAAACUAUUGAUUUAUGGUAAUCAACCAUUGACUACUUCUAUAAUAUCAUCUGCAGAAAAGAACUUAUUAAACAAUUCAACUGAUGAAAUCAACAAAUGCGAGAGACAUGCAAGAGAAGCAGAGAUUUGGCUUCACUGACUGUGUUCAAGCAUAACUCUUAAGAGAAGAAAAUCCAACAACUGGGAAAUCGUUUUGCUUGAGAAAUUUCCAAAACACUGAAGUCACUGCAAUAACUGCUUGCAAGAACUGCCAUGAGGAGUGCCAUUCUGCAGAGGUGGAUUUCAAGAAGAUUAAACCCUAUUGACAACCAUCCUGCUUUUCAUCUGAAUUUGCACAAUAAUCCUCAUUCUUCAUAGGG
This is a non-coding RNA of Cyanistes caeruleus (blue tit), 501 nucleotides long. The record is from RefSeq and is a predicted model, not a curated record. Lineage: Eukaryota; Metazoa; Chordata; Aves; Passeriformes; Paridae.